CAGACGUUUGCUCGUCCGUUCUGUUCGCGGACGGCCCGCCGCGACCGGUGGGUCCCCCGGGCCCGCCUGGGCUCGCCCGCUCCAGUCACUGCCUCUGCGGCCCCGGCACCGAAUGCAGGAGGUAAGGACCGGAGCCCCGCCUUGCCCCGCUCCGGGCGGCCGCUCCCCGGUUUCCUGCAAGACGGCAGUUCCCAUGGGGGCUGCAGGUCCCGACCCGGCCCUGGCCGCAGACUGCGGGUGGGUCCCGGCAAUGACGUGUAGAGACCACGGUCGGGGCUCCGCAGGUGCUCGUUGUUCCUGGAUUGGACGUCGUUUCUCGUCUUUACAGUUGCUCUGGGGUUUUGAGCUUGGGAUCGCAGGGGAUCUGUCGGUUGGUGGAAACUUAAACCGGAUAUAGAGGCCGUCACGAAGAUUGUUGAGAGAGACACAGAAUAACGCUGCCUGAAAAAGUGAGUAGAGAUGGGCGUAGGGACCUGAGAGGGCUGCAGGUGCUGGGUCCAGCAGUUCCUGAAGCCUUGCCUCAUUGCUCCUUCUGCCUAAUGCACUUCAGCUCAUAAGGCAGAAUGUUUUUCCUUCAAGUGAUACAAACCAAAAACCAGUGUAAGAGCAAAGAAGGAAGUUUUAUGGCAUGUCGGAUGGCUUCAGGCACGGCUAGAUCCAGCAGUCUGGAAGUAUCAUUACGGAUCUCUCUCUCUCCAUGUCUCAGCUCAUCUGAGAGCCGUCCCUGCUCUUCGGUGAGCUCUCUCUGAGCAGUGGCGUGUGGAAACUCUGGGUUAACGUUCCAGCAGCCCUUGAAGGAAAACCGUCUUCUUCCCCAGUCAUUGCAGGAAACGUCGUGAGGCCUGUUGUCUUUGGCCUGCUGCGGAAGUGGAGCGGAGGCAGGCACUCCUCAGAGGACGUGAGCCGGAGCUGGGGCGGGGAGGACCCCCAAAAGGGAAUAGCCAGGAUUCUGAGAGCCCGGGAGGUGGGAGAUAAGCGAAAAGUGCCCUCCUCUCUCACAUCCUGCUGGUCCUCUGCCGGGGCCUCCAGGGCUCCCUGUGAUAGUUGUGUCUGGCCCUUGGCGGAAACGGGACUCCUUUUCUUGCCUUUAUUGCUGUGGCAUUCAUACAGUUAACCGUUUUAUUUUUAUUAUUA
Long non-coding RNA from Lynx canadensis (Canada lynx), 1134 nucleotides. RefSeq lists it as uncharacterized. Lineage: Eukaryota; Metazoa; Chordata; Mammalia; Carnivora; Felidae. The record is from RefSeq and is a predicted model, not a curated record. The transcript has 2 exons.